Long non-coding RNA from Xiphophorus maculatus (southern platyfish), 490 nucleotides. RefSeq lists it as uncharacterized. The record is from RefSeq and is a predicted model, not a curated record. The transcript has 2 exons. NCBI's taxonomy places the organism in Eukaryota, Metazoa, Chordata, Actinopteri, Cyprinodontiformes, Poeciliidae.
CCAAGGAACACUACGUCUACCAAGAAAGGGAGGCGCCUUCUUCAGUGGAAUCCACAGUUUGAAGGACAAGCGUCGAAUGAAGAAGUGCAAAGUCAUUCUGAUCAAGUGGUUCUCAACAGUUCAACAGUUCUUUGAGAAAAUUGUGAAAUGUUUAGGACCACUUGAGCAGUCGGACAAAUGCUGCCAUCUCAGACGAUUCUGGCUGGAUUCAAAGAAGGCCUGAAUCUGGACAAAUUUGGGAACGACUGCAUCGUUUUUACCAUAUUUGUCAGCCUCCCUGAUGUCUCCCUGUCAUCUCUGCCUGACUGCGUCCCAGCAGCACCUGCAGCUCUGGAGCUGUGGGGGGCUGUAAAAAUGAUUAGGGCUCAGUAAUUUCAUUCUACUGGCACAUAUGCAACAUUUUAACGGCUCUAUUGCUGCAUAGCUCUCACUUUUUCACUGCUUUUCUGUCCCUACUUUCCAGAGGUACUGAUUAAAACAAGUCAAUAAA